AUAUUGCUUAGCUGAUGUGCAC
Molecule: non-coding RNA, 22 nt
Filed under: Rattus norvegicus (Norway rat)
Lineage: Eukaryota; Metazoa; Chordata; Mammalia; Rodentia; Muridae
Source: RNAcentral